This 293-nucleotide long non-coding RNA is filed under the name Hordeum vulgare. RNAcentral's name for it is "long non-coding RNA (HVUL_LNC017638)". The record is from RNAcentral. Lineage: Eukaryota; Viridiplantae; Streptophyta; Magnoliopsida; Poales; Poaceae.
CCAAGUUAGGAUGAUCAAAGAACAACUAUUUACUACAUCAAUCCAAUGUUGUCUCGGUAACAAGUAUUUACUUAAUGCAUUCUUUUCUUGCAAAGGCCCCUGUCUUUUCUUUGCAGGGUGCAUUAUGGCACGAAUCUCUUGAUUCGUUCUUGUAGUACUUGUUUCCUCUCUCAAAGCAUCCUAACGAUGAUGUCUUGUUACUAGUUGGGAUGUCUUUGAUGUUCGUAUGUUGGAAGUUCAUAUUGUACAAUAAGAAAAUAUUAGGCCAUGUGCUAUGCUUCCAAGCAAAAGAU